AGUCAUCAACCCCUUUGGUUUUGUUUCCAAAGUGGGUUGGAUCUGGGGGCCUCUGCCGUCGGUUUUCCGUCGGCUCCCCUCGAAUGCGUCGGUUGGGCCUGUGGGUCGAACCCGGCUGGGCGUUGUACCAUCCUCGCUCUAUCGGGACGGACUCUACGUUUGCGUGCCCCUCCGCGACCUGCCUCUCGUUGUCAGGGUGGCGGUCAAAACUUGAGGGACUCACCUCCCUUUUGAA
RNAcentral lists this unclassified non-coding RNA (235 nucleotides) under uncultured Trechispora. Its description in RNAcentral is "sequence contains ITS2". The record is from RNAcentral. Lineage: Eukaryota; Fungi; Basidiomycota; Agaricomycetes; Polyporales; Polyporaceae.